AACUAAUGUGGCAGAAAAAUGUAUUAGAUUUAAAAUUUAAUUAUGAAUUCUAAAUUCCUUUAGU
Molecule: transfer RNA, 64 nt
Filed under: Russelliana sp.
Lineage: Eukaryota; Metazoa; Arthropoda; Insecta; Hemiptera; Psyllidae
Description: tRNA-Leu
Source: RNAcentral